This 253-nucleotide ribosomal RNA is filed under the name uncultured prokaryote. RNAcentral's name for it is "partial 16S ribosomal RNA". It matches the Rfam family "Bacterial small subunit ribosomal RNA", at positions 524 to 776 of the family's 1533-position model. The record is from RNAcentral.
UACGUAGGUGGCAAGCGUUGUCCGGAUUUAUUGGGUUUAAAGGGUGCGUAGGCGGACAGGUAAGUCAGUGGUGAAAUCUCUGAGCUUAACUCAGAAACUGCCGUUGAUACUAUUUGUCUUGAAUAUCAUGGAGGUAGGCGGAAUAUGUCAUGUAGCGGUGAAAUGCUUAGAUAUGACAUAGAACACCGAUAGCGAAGGCAGCUUACUACAUGAAGAUUGACGCCGAGGCACGAAAGCGUGGGGAGCAAACAGG